CCUACGGGAGGCAGCAGUGAGGAAUAUUGGUCAAUGGGCGGGAGCCUGAACCAGCCAAGUCGCGUGAGGGAAGACGGUCCUAUGGAUUGUAAACCUCUUUAGGCGGGGAGCAAGGCCGGGCACGCGUGCCCGGAGGGAGAGUACCCGCAGAAGAAGCAUCGGCUAACUCCGUGCCAGCAGCCGCGGUAAUACGGAGGAUGCGAGCGUUAUCCGGAUUGAUUGGGGUUAAAGGGUGCGGAGGCGGAUUUUGCAGUCAGCGGUAAAAUGUCCGGGCUCAACCCGGGCCGGCCGUUGAAACUGGGGAUCUUGCGUGGGCGAGAAGUAUGCGGAAUGCGUGGUGUAGCGGUGAAAUGCAUAGAUAUCACGCAGAACUCCGAUUGCGAAGGCAGCAUACCGGCGCCCGACUGACGCUGAGGCACGAAAGCGUGGGGAUCGAACAGGAUUAGAUACCCUAGUAGUC
RNAcentral lists this ribosomal RNA (460 nucleotides) under uncultured bacterium. RNAcentral describes it as "partial 16S ribosomal RNA". It matches the Rfam family "Bacterial small subunit ribosomal RNA", at positions 338 to 795 of the family's 1533-position model. The record is from RNAcentral.